RNAcentral lists this ribosomal RNA (466 nucleotides) under uncultured bacterium. RNAcentral describes it as "partial 16S ribosomal RNA". It matches the Rfam family "Bacterial small subunit ribosomal RNA", at positions 28 to 507 of the family's 1533-position model. The record is from RNAcentral.
GAUGAACGCUGGCGGCGUGCUUAACACAUGCAAGUCGAACGAUGAAGCCCAGCUUGCUGUGUGGAUUAGUUGCGAACGGGUGAGUAACACGUGAGUAACCUGCCCUUCACUCUGGGAUAAGCCUGGUAAACUGGGUCUAAUACCGGAUAGGAGCGCCCACCGCAUGGUGGGUGUUGGAAAGAUUUAUCGGUUUUGGAUGGACUCGCGGCCUAUCAGCUUGUUGGUGAGGUAAUGGCUCACCAAGGCGACGACGGGUAGCCGGCCUGAGAGGGUGACCGGCCACACUGGGACUGAGACACGGCCCAGACUCCUACGGGAGGCAGAAGUGGGGAAUAUUGCACAAUGGGCGCAAGCCUGAUGCAGCGACGCCGCGUGAGGGAUGACGGCCUUCGGGUUGUAAACAUCUUUCAGUAGGGAAGAAGCGAAAGUGACGGUACCUGCAGAAGAAGCACCGGCUAACUACGUG